This 342-nucleotide long non-coding RNA is filed under the name Amborella trichopoda. Its description in RNAcentral is "long non-coding RNA (ATRI_LNC005240)". The record is from RNAcentral. Lineage: Eukaryota; Viridiplantae; Streptophyta; Magnoliopsida; Amborellales; Amborellaceae.
CCAUAGGCUCGAUCUCUUCUAGGAUCAAGUCAUCUUGAUUCACCACCUCUCCAUCGAUAAGAAAAUUAGAUAUCAUUGCUGCCCCAAAGAUAAUUUCUUUCCUGUCAUCUUGUUUUUCAUAAAAAACUCUCCAUCGAUAAGAAAAUUAGAUAUCAUUGCUGCCUCAAGGAUAAUUUCUUUCAUGUCAUCUUGUUCUUCAUAAAAAACAAGAACUGCAUCAAAGAUGUACCUGUGACAUCCAAGAAUGAUGAUUGCAAUUGAAGAUCCAAAACUACACGUUAUUCAUUUUCAACUGGUUUUUCAUCAAAAUUAGGUAGAUCAAUUUUCCGACUAUGAGGAAAU